GGGGAUGUAGCUCAGUGGCAAAGCACAUGCUUACCACGUGUGAGGCCCUGGGUUCAACCCCCGACACUGCCA
This 72-nucleotide transfer RNA is filed under the name Ictidomys tridecemlineatus (thirteen-lined ground squirrel). RNAcentral's name for it is "Spermophilus tridecemlineatus (thirteen-lined ground squirrel) tRNA". It matches the Rfam family "tRNA". Rfam says of the family: Transfer RNA (tRNA) molecules are approximately 80 nucleotides in length. Their secondary structure includes four short double-helical elements and three loops (D, anti-codon, and T loops). Lineage: Eukaryota; Metazoa; Chordata; Mammalia; Rodentia; Sciuridae. The record is from Rfam by way of RNAcentral.